CUACGGGAUGCAGCAGUGGGGAAUAUUGCACAAUGGGCGCAAGCCUGAUGCAGCCAUGCCGCGUGUCUGAAGAAGGCCUUCGGGUUGUAAAGUACUUUCAGCGGGGAGGAAGGGAGUAAAGUUAAUACCUUUGCUCAUUGACGUUACCCGCAGAAGAAGCACCGGCUAACUCCGUGCCAGCAGCCGCGGUAAUACGGAGGGUGCAAGCGUUAAUCGGAAUUACUGGGCGUAAAGCGCACGCAGGCGGUUUGUUAAGUCAGAUGUGAAAUCCCCGGGCGCAACCUGGGAACUGCAUCUGAUACUGGCAAGCUUGAGUCUCGUAGAGGGGGGUAGAAUUCCAGGUGUAGCGGUGAAAUGCGUAGAGACCUGGAGGAAUACCGGUGGCGAAGGCGGCCCCCUGGACGAAGACUGACGCUCAGGUGCGAAAGCGUGGGGAGCAAACAGGAUUAGAUACCCGAGUAGUC
RNAcentral lists this ribosomal RNA (464 nucleotides) under uncultured bacterium. RNAcentral's name for it is "partial 16S ribosomal RNA". It matches the Rfam family "Bacterial small subunit ribosomal RNA", at positions 339 to 795 of the family's 1533-position model. The record is from RNAcentral.